UGUCAAAUAGUGUAUUUUCUCCUAACCAGUAUCUUUUGUAAGGUUAGAUUUCUGUCAGUUUAACUUCUUAAACCAGCUCAUCGCCAGAUAACGUGAACACCAGUGCUGGCCCCAAGGAAGCACCUGCAGUGCCUGAGGAGGGGAGGAGAGCUGCAGCACUGCCCCUCUGUCAGCAAGCCACAGUUAGAUCGUACGGUUCAGCCGUGCAUAGAACGGACCCUGCAGAUGGGGAGAAGACUGAACAGUUGCCAGAGAAGGAAGAGGGCAGGGCAGAAGCUUUUGCUUCUAACUGCUAGCCCCGACACAAGCCAAAACAAAUCAUCUUCAGGAUGCCAGAGAGAUACCAAAGGUUGAAAACUGUUGGAGCGAUGAGAAUGAAAGUGAGGCAGAUGCGAGAAGCUGUACCUUUCAUGCACGAUCCAAGAGCAGAAGUGGACGGAGCUUGUGCCAGUUGUUCUGGAGGUCGCAGCAGCCUCUCCAAAGGAAGAGCCGUAACAUGCAGACGCCAGGGUCUCCGCACAGCUGGGAUCACACGGAGACAAGGCUAGAGUACAGCUGUAUGUUAAAGAUGGGUAUUCAGCCAUUCUUCGUUCCUAUUUAAUAACAGGUAAGUGGUGAAGUGCUGUCUUGUUGAAAUUCUUCCCCUGUCUGAGCAAACACCAUGUAACAUACCAUUUUUACAGUGAUUUGUAGAGUAUUUUUACUCCUGAAAUAUAGCCCUUCCUUUUUAGCCCUCCUUAAUCAUAGUGAUUUUGUGGAGAAUACCAAACUUUCCAUUCUUGGACUUAAAGCUUGACUUUUUCCUUCUUUAUUUCCUUUUGCAUUAAUUCUUUCUCCUAAAAAUAGACCAGUGGAGUCCCAAAAUACCCCAUGGAGCCUUAAGGAAACCUAGGGCACCGGCGGUCCCUCAGCCCCACGUCCCUGGGGGUGCCGGCAGCCCCUCGGCCCGGCACUGCGCAGCCGCCAGCCGUGGGCAGGGCUCCGUGCAGCGUCAGAGGAGCAGCGGCCGAUCCUGAACAAAACUCCCUUCUUCCUGCCAAAUCAUCCUGUUGCUCCCAGCGGGCUGCAAGUUGCAGUUUGUAUGGCAGCCCCACGGUGGGAAAAUUUGUAAUUUUUUGCUACUUCCAGGGUCAACAAAGUGGUUGUGUUUUAAACCAAACCUGUAAGACCUUGUGACUUCAUGGGACCUUCUUGUCUCUAGGUCUGAGAUAGCUCUCAGGAUAGUAAUAGAGGUUAAAAAAGAAAAAUCUAAAGAAAGAAAAUGAGCAAAUACGCUCAGCCAGGCUGCGGGCCGUGCUGAGUCUGCGCUGUGGAGCCGGCGCCUGGGUGCGUGGGGGCUGGCCGCCGGCGGGGGGGCCCGUCUCAUUGCCCCCUCUGCGGGGACGACGGCUGAUGUUGAUUUUUAAAUGCGUAAGAUUAGCAUGAGCCUGGAGUCUGUGCGCUUUGGGAUGUGGCGUUUUGAGAGAGUCCCAGACUGACAUCUGAUUUGCAGAGGCUGGGAAUGAAGCUUGAGAGAAAAAUGCAGGGUCUUUGAAGUGAAAAACUUUGAAGUUUAGAACAGCCAGCAAAUUCCUGUUGCAGUUUACAGUCUGUGGAAAAUCUGGAAGGUAAGAUAUUUAACAGAAUAAACGGGGUAAAAUAUUGAAAAGUAACA
Long non-coding RNA from Apteryx rowi (Okarito brown kiwi), 1654 nucleotides. The record is from Ensembl. Lineage: Eukaryota; Metazoa; Chordata; Aves; Apterygiformes; Apterygidae.